Paramisgurnus dabryanus is the source of this 2676-nucleotide long non-coding RNA. RefSeq lists it as uncharacterized. The record is from RefSeq and is a predicted model, not a curated record. Lineage: Eukaryota; Metazoa; Chordata; Actinopteri; Cypriniformes; Cobitidae.
UUAAGUUUUACUUGUUUGACACAAAUGAACCAAAAUAAACAUUGCCAGAAUUGUCCACACUGAGUAUGGCUAAAAUUAGCUAAUAGGCUAAAAGGCACUUUAUACUUACACAUGUUAUACCAUAGUAUAAAGUAUGUUUAAUGAUACAGUCAAAGUUAUUACUUUAGCUUAUUUAUGUAGCCUUUGAGAAUUUCUUUCAGAAAUUAAAACAUCUGAAAGAGAAAAGUUAUUUGGCAUGAUGGAAUGAUUUGAUUGCCUACACAUUGCACAUGUAAAAUGUUAAAUACUGUUCUGUAUUAAAAGCUCAGCAUAAGUGUUUGAUUAACUUCCUUUGCUUUUGUUUUGUACAAAGGAAGAGCAGAACCUAAUCCAAAUAAAAAUAAACAAGCUGUUAAAAGCCAGUUGAAGGUGGUCAACACAAACCAAAUGAAGAUGUUGCACAUUCCACAAACAAUAAAAAAGAAGAUCAAGUUUUGUGUCCAACACACUUGGAUGAGACGUGCCCGACCCCUGACUUUGUCUACCCUACAUUAAGUUGUGAUGGCACACUUCAUGACAGUAAACAUCGGUAUCAAGAUGAUGUGAUUGAUCUAUACCCUAGAAUAAGCUGUGACACUAUGAGACGGUGACAUAAUGAACAGCCAUCUUCCAGACAACCGAAACAGUAUUGUCUACAAUACCAAAUUCUGGAUUGACGCCCCAGUACCAGAAGGCACUCCAAUCCCAGAGAGCAUCCCAUUGUGAGGUAACACAACGAAAAAAUAACAGGAUGGAGACUACCUGAUUCUUCACCUAUGGCCUUAGCUUCAAAUGCAAGAAGUCCAGCAACUGUCUGAGCUGGUGGAUAUUCUAUCAGAGACUGCAUGAACAACGUUAUGAACAGGUAUGUGUUUCCCUUGAAUUGUGUAAUCCUGCAUAAUAUUGCAGGAAUAUUGAUUACAACCAUAAUUAACCCAGCAAUUUAUAUUACUUAAAUUCAGGAUUUAAUCUGUCACACAUCACUUGUUCAGAACUAUUAAAGUUCGUAGUGGCUCAAACAGUCAGCCAUACUGAAAACAAGAAAUCAAAUCAUAAUUUCAGUGUAAGCCAGUGGUGUCAAACUCAGUUCCUGGAGGGCCGGUGUCAUUUUUUGACAGUUACACACCUAGUUUAGGGUCUUUCUCAAGGGCACCACAGUGGGAUUGAAGAGCAAGGGUACAAAUGCUGUUGGUCUCACAACUGAUCUAACACUUAUUUAAAGCAUAACAUCUUUUAUACAAUAAUUUAUAUAUAUAUAUAUAUAUAUAUAUAUAUAUAUAUAUAUAUAUAUAUAUAUAUAUAUAUAUAUAUGAAGAGUUUCAUUGCAAAACGAGAUAACUCCGUUUUUAACAUUUUUGUCAAAACAUGUUUAUUAUUCUGUUAUCAUGUUAUUAUCUUGUUAUAUGGUGCUACCUAGCUGUAUUUUUUAAGUUAUGAACGUUUAAAUCAAAACAAACCAACUGCAGUUGAACAACCAAAAAACAAGAUUUCUGAAAAAUUAUAUAUAUAUAAUUUUAGCUGUAGACCAUAAAGAUUUUGAAAGUAAGUGCAUGUCAUUUACCUCAAAUGUUUAAUUGUAUUUAUUUUAAAAAGAAACAUAUUCUUCUCUUCCCUCAGAUGCCGUGAGGAGGUGGAGCCCAAAAGCCACGGACUCGGAAAUCGAUGCAGCUAUGGCAGACCACCUCAAGCACGCUCCAGGAAGAGAGCUAGGGGUUGUGAAUACAAAAAAUAAGCCAAACAGAUGUAAUGUGUUAGAGAUAGUUCACACAAAAAUGAAAAUUGUUAUAAUUUUCUUACCCACGUGUUUCAAACCUGUAUACAUUUCUAUUUUUUGCUGAACACAAAGAUUGAAUAAUGUUUGUAACCAAGCAUUUCUCACAACCCAUUAACUGUCAUAAUCAUUUUUUUUACAAUUGUAGUAAUGGGUUGUGAGAUCUGCUUUUUUAAAAAACAUUCUUUCAAAUAUCUUUGUGUUCCGCAGAACAUAGAAAGGUAUACAGGUUUGAAACAUGAGAGGGAGUAAAUGACUAAAUAUUCAUUUUUGGGUGAACUAUCCCUUUAUAUAAUAAAGUAUUUUGAAAUUGUUAUUAUAGUUAAAAAAAAUAAAAGUCUUAAAUCAGAACAUGCUUCUUUUUUGCUCAUGUCCACAAAUAAUGUGUUCUUUAAUGUGUUUAAUGCCUAAAGACCUACACCAAGCGACAAGUGCUAUGGUUGUUAGCUUAUAUACAUUCUGAAAAUUUCAUGUGUACUUUAUGUGAAUGGAGGCCUAUGAUUAUUGCUUCUGACUGUAGGGUAAUUAAAUAUAAGGUAGCCUAAACACAUGAAAGACUAAACAUCACAUAGGCCAUAAAUCCCAAAAAUAAGGCAUAGCUGGCAUUGAUCUGGUACGCGGAUCUGUGCCGCAUCUCUAUGCGGGACUGGGCCAGCUCUGUUCCAUUUCCAGUUCAGAUUCGUGAAACUGAUCCUGACCACUUCUUGGCCGAUGUGCGUUUGGACACUGGACCGUGUUAGUUAAACGGAUCUGAUGCGGAUGGAACGGUAUGUGUGGGCCAGCUCCACCCCAGUGUUGUUUUACUGUUUUGGUACGAGAGUGGGCCAGGGCUGACCCAUCUCUGGUGCAGAGCCAUGAAACAAAUCCUGAUCACUUUUGGCCCGUUG